This 478-nucleotide ribosomal RNA is filed under the name uncultured soil bacterium. Its description in RNAcentral is "bacterial SSU rRNA". It matches the Rfam family "Bacterial small subunit ribosomal RNA", at positions 26 to 518 of the family's 1533-position model. The record is from RNAcentral.
AGAAUCAACGCUGGCGGCGUGCCUCAGACAUGCAAGUCGAACGAUUAAAGCUCUCUUCGGAGAGUGUAUAGAGUGGCGCACGGGUGAGUAACACGUAAGUAAUCUACCUUUGAGUGGGGAAUAACGUCCGGAAACGGACGCUAAUACCGCAUAAUGCAGCGGCAUCGCAAGAUGACAGUUGUUAAAGAUUUAUCGCUUGAAGAGGAGCUUGCGGCAGAUUAGCUUGUUGGUAAGGUAACGGCUUACCAAGGCUACGAUCUGUAACCGGUCUAAGAGGACGGUCGGUCACACUGACACUGAAUAACGGGUCAGACUCCUACGGGAGGCAGCAGUCGGGAAUUUUGGGCAAUGGGCGAAAGCCUGACCCAGCAACGCCGCGUGAAGGAUGAAGUAUUUCGGUAUGUAAAACUUCGAAAGAAUGGAAGAAUACAAUGACGUACCAUUUAUAGGUCCGGACUAACUACGUGCCAGCAGCCGC